RNAcentral lists this ribosomal RNA (813 nucleotides) under uncultured bacterium. RNAcentral's name for it is "bacterial SSU rRNA". It matches the Rfam family "Bacterial small subunit ribosomal RNA", at positions 615 to 1429 of the family's 1533-position model. The record is from RNAcentral.
UGGGAACUGCGUUNUGAACUGGGUGACUAGAGUGUGUCAGAGGGAGGUAGAAUUCCACGUGUAGCAGUGAAAUGCGUAGAGAUGUGGAGGAAUACCGAUGGCGAAGGCAGCCUCCUGGGAUAACACUGACGUUCAUGCCCGAAAGCGUGGGUAGCAAACAGGAUUAGAUACCCUGGUAGUNCACGCCCUAAACGAUGUCGAUUAGCUGUUGGGCAGCAUGACUGCUUAGUAGCGAAGCUAACGCGUGAAAUCGACCGCCUGGGGAGUACGGUCGCAAGAUUAAAACUCAAAGGAAUUGACGGGGACCCGCACAAGCGGUGGAUGAUGUGGAUUAAUUCGAUGCAACGCGAAGAACCUUACCUGGUCUUGACAUGUACGGAACCCUCCAGAGACGGAGGGGUGCCUUCGGGAGCCGUAACACAGGUGCUGCAUGGCUGUCGUCAGCUCGUGUCGUGAGAUGUUGGGUUAAGUCCCGCAACGAGCGCAACCCUUGUCAUUAGUUGCCAUCAUUAAGUUGGGCACUCUAAUGAGACUGCCGGUGACAAGCCGGAGGAAGGUGGGGAUGACGUCAAGUCCUCAUGGCCCUUAUGACGAGGGCUUCACACGUCAUACAAUGGUCGGUACAGAGGGUAGCCAAGCCGCGAGGUGGAGCCAAUCUCACAAAACCGAUCGUAGUCCGGAUUGCACUCUGCAACUCGAGUGCAUGAAGUCGGAAUCGCUAGUAAUCGCAGGUCAGCAUACUGCGGUGAAUACGUUCCCGGGUCUUGUACACACCGCCCGUCACACCAUGGGAGUGGGGGAUACCAGAAGUAG